AGCUGAUAUGAAUAAUGCCAUCCUAAUUCAGGGUUUCAACUUCUACUGCUAUUCAACCAAGUUAAACAAUAUUAAUGAUUGUCCAGUUCAGAUGCUCAAGAUGAAAUUUACAGGUAAUGCAAUAGCUUGACACAUUUUCCCAAUUACACCUACUUGAAACACAAACUAAGCUACAAUCCAUUAAACUACGCCAAAUAGACAAUCACCAGUUUAACAGGAGUCAAACUUGAAUCUAAAAUGAACACUGAUUUCACUCCAAUUUGUCAUUACAACAGGGAGAGUUCGAACAUGUACCUGGAAAUGAAGCAGAAUAAAAGGAAAAAGGAGUCAGCAGUGGCAAGCAAACAAUCAGCAGUUGAAACCAAUAGCACAGGAUCAAUUGGGACUUAAAAACAGCAUCACACAGCCCAGGGAUGAAUGACAGAGGAACAUCACCAAAAAUAAUCAAAACAGACUUGAUUGAACCCAAACUGACUCAAAAUUAAACCCAGGAAAACUUCUGCAACUUCAGCAACUAGAAACACAUCCUUAUCUGAGCUAGAAAUUUGAAUUAACACCUGAAACUCGAAACUAAUCUAAGGGGAAUUUCAAUGGAAUAGUAAUUUUUUGAGUUUGUUUUUUUAUUUUUGUGUUACUUUUGGGUUUUAAGAAGUUUUGAAUUUCAAUUCUUAGAUCUAACAAUGAAGGUUUUUGGAUGGGUGAUUUUUAUGGCUAAAAAUUCAAUCCCCUUCCUCAAGGCACUUUUUGCCCUUUUAUAGGUGAUACAAGAGGGUUAAUCAGAUUUUGGGUUUUCUUUUUAGUUCCACCCUUAUUUUCAGUUUAGUCCCUCAUUUCUUGACUUGUUUCCCAAGCUAGUAUCCUAAGUUGGCUGAAAUCUACACUAAAGUCCUAUUCUAGAAGGCCCUAGGAUGCUCUUCUACCCCUAAAAUACCUAUACUACCCUUACCCCUACUUUGAAAUUACUAUUCCCAAAGAAACUGCCCCCUUCCAUGUCUAAACUACCCCUGAAAGCUUCUCAAAGUUACUGAUUCUACCUAUGUUCUCAACAACUAUAACCAAUCCCCUGAAUUAAUUCAAAACUAACUAGGACUAAUUAAUUAGAAUUCAGAAAUUACCCAAUUGAACUAACCAAUCCCAAUUAUUCAAUCACCCAAACCCAAACAACUUAAAAAAACCAAGAGAAUAGGAUCAAUCAACAUUAAUGGACAAACUGGUACUGAAUCCAAACUAAUUAAUCAUGCCGAUUUUGCAAUUAAAAUGAUGAUUAACUAAUAAAUGACACAUGCAUCAAACUAAACUAAAAAUGCGAAGAUGCUUUACUGAUCAAGGAGCAAGGAACAAAGAAGAUUUAAACUAUACUAAUACACAAAAUAAAUCGUAAAAUUAACAGAAUACUUUAAUGAAAUCAAAACUAUAACUAACACUUCAACUAUGCAAGUAAAAAGAAACAAGAAAGCUCACUGAAGUACGAGAAACUCCGGCCGGUUGCUAUCAUCCGAAUCUUUCCAGAUUUUUGACACAUAACAUCCCUAACCAUGUAUUUUUUACAAAAGAAUACAUGGUUAAGGAUAUUAUGGUUUAAAAUCACAAAGAUUUUGGGUUAGGGCUUUGGCCAGAAAUUCUUAGAUCUGAAAUUCGAGCCGCUUCGCCGGGAUUCGAAGGAAGAUGGUCAUGGAUUUGGGUUGAGGGAAGUCUGGGG
Molecule: long non-coding RNA, 1699 nt
Filed under: Nicotiana tabacum (common tobacco)
Lineage: Eukaryota; Viridiplantae; Streptophyta; Magnoliopsida; Solanales; Solanaceae
Description: long non-coding RNA (NTAB_LNC008466)
Source: RNAcentral